UCAGAGUAUGGCUAAACAGUAAAGCACCUCCCUUACACUGAGAAAAUAUCUGUGCAAAUCAGAUUACUCUGAU
RNAcentral lists this transfer RNA (73 nucleotides) under Ophichthys cuchia (cuchia). RNAcentral's name for it is "tRNA-Val". It matches the Rfam family "tRNA". From Rfam's summary of the family: Transfer RNA (tRNA) molecules are approximately 80 nucleotides in length. Their secondary structure includes four short double-helical elements and three loops (D, anti-codon, and T loops). Lineage: Eukaryota; Metazoa; Chordata; Actinopteri; Synbranchiformes; Synbranchidae. The record is from RNAcentral.